AGCAGCCGCGGUAAUUCCAGCUCCAAUAGCGUAUAUUAAAGUUGUUGCAGUUAAAAAGCUCGUAGUUGAAUUUCGGGAUCAAUAUGUUGGUCGUGCCUUGGUACGUACUAAUCUAUUGGUUUCUUCCUUCUGACGAACCAUGAUGUCAUUAAUUUGGUGUCUUGGGGAAUCAGGACUGUUACUUUGAAAAAUUAGAGUGUUUAAAGCAGGCUCACGCUUGAAUACAUUAGCAUGGAAUAAUGAAAUAGGACGUUUGAUUCUAUUUUGUUGGUUUCUAGGAUUGACGUAAUGAUUAAUAGGGAUAGUUGGGGGCAUUAGUAUUCAAUUGUCAGAGGUGAAAUUCUUGGAUUUAUUGAAGACUAACUACUGCGAAAGCAUUUGCCAAGGAUGUUUUCAUUAAUCAAGAACGAAAGUUAGGGGAUCGAAGACGAUCA
RNAcentral lists this ribosomal RNA (434 nucleotides) under uncultured Glomus. Its description in RNAcentral is "SSU rRNA". It matches the Rfam family "Eukaryotic small subunit ribosomal RNA", at positions 569 to 1010 of the family's 1831-position model. Lineage: Eukaryota; Fungi; Glomeromycota; Glomeromycetes; Glomerales; Glomeraceae. The record is from RNAcentral.